Molecule: ribosomal RNA, 499 nt
Filed under: uncultured bacterium
Lineage: Bacteria
Description: partial 16S ribosomal RNA
Rfam family: Bacterial small subunit ribosomal RNA
Source: RNAcentral
GACGAACGCUGGCGGCGUGCCUAAUACAUGCAAGUCGAGCGAAGUUUUUCUGGUGCUUGCACCGGAAAAACUUAGCGGCGAACGGGUGAGUAACACGUAAAGAACCUGCCUCAUAGACUGGGACAACUAUUGGAAACGAUAGCUAAUACCGGAUAACAGCAUUAACUGCAUGGUUGAUGUUUAAAAGUUGGUUUUGCUAACACUAUGAGAUGGCUUUGCGGUGCAUUAGCUAGUUGGUGGGGUAAAGGCCUACCAAGGCGACGAUGCAUAGCCGACCUGAGAGGGUGAUCGGCCACACUGGGACUGAGACACGGCCCAGACUCCUACGGGAGGCAGCAGUAGGGAAUCUUCCGCAAUGGGCGAAAGCCCGACGGAGCAACGCCGCGUGAGUGAAGAAGGAUUUCGGUUCGUAAAGCUCUGUUGUUAGGGAAGAAUGAUUGUGUAGUAACUAUACACAGUAGAGACGGUACCUAACCAGAAAGCCACGGCUAACUACGUG